UGAAGUCUGGAUCACCCUCACUGUGACAGUAUCGUCUCUGUUGCUGGUUCUGCUGGUCGUGUCUCUCGCCAUGCUGUCCCGCUGGAAACACCAACCCAAGAAACCAGCCGGUCCUGAUCAGGUGUGACUGAAGAUGAACAGCUGAGAUCUAGUUUGUCUCCACGGCAACACAACAAACAGCUGUUGGCCCGGAUCCAGAGAGGCAGACUG
Perca flavescens (yellow perch) is the source of this 210-nucleotide long non-coding RNA. RefSeq lists it as uncharacterized. The transcript has 3 exons. Lineage: Eukaryota; Metazoa; Chordata; Actinopteri; Perciformes; Percidae. The record is from RefSeq and is a predicted model, not a curated record.